Molecule: long non-coding RNA, 1131 nt
Filed under: Cyanistes caeruleus (blue tit)
Lineage: Eukaryota; Metazoa; Chordata; Aves; Passeriformes; Paridae
Description: lncRNA (ENSCCEG00000000903.1)
Source: RNAcentral
AUUGAAGCUAAGGCUGUGAACAAAUUCUGAACUCCAUGCUGCCUGAUGAAUCCUGUUUUGUUUCAGGUUGUUUCUUUCUGUAUCCUCUUCUCAAGUUUUAGUAUUGCCUUUAUAACAGAUUAUAAUAUGUUUUGUUGAUUAAAUUGUGUUCUAUUUAGUAAAAGGACUUGAUAGUCAAAAAUAUGUUUAAGAAUGCGAGAUAAAGUACUGAAGAGUCAUAAACAUUAAGGCACUCCCCCUGUGGGCUACUUCUCUUGUAUUAUUAGGUUCAUUGAUGUAAAGAGUUUCUUGUGCUCUUAAACAUAGCUAGAGAAAAAACUCAAUAAAUGUGCAUUUCAGACAAAAUAUGAAAACCAGCUGUCUUAAAGGAAACCUAAUUUUCAAGGAAGGAUAUGCUUCCAAUUUUUUUUUUUUUAAUUAUUAUUGUUAUUUUCCCCCAAAGACAGUGACUGCUUACUAAUCACUGUAAACCUUACAGCUGGGGCAAUAGAAGACUCUUGGGGAAAGAUUGUGCUAUUCAAAUCCUUCCAUGGUUCCUCUUCUGAAGAACUCACAGAACUUCAGCUGCUCGGUGCCUUUCCUGCAGCUUUUAAAUCAGCUCUCCUCUUGGAAGCAAGACAAGAUCGCUCAUCUCUGUGCUGGUGAUUGCUCUGGAGAUAUUGUAGUCCCACUCUUAAAAUAUGAAAUUUAUUUGAUUAUAAAGGAUAUUAUUAUAUAUGCACACCUAUGUAGAUAUAUGCUAGGUAAACAUUCCUUUUCCCUGCUUGAGAGAAUUUAAUAAUUACCAGAUGAGAAUGAUAACCAUGCGUUUUUUUCAUUAUUAACAUUCAAAUAGUGUAGCUCUGAUUUAAUGUUCUAAGAUAUCUUUUUGUUCUUUGCCUUUUUCUAGGCUGACAAUACAAAGUAAAAUCACUUCUUAAAUCUUAAAGCCUUGUGAAUCUUAAUUUUAACUGUCUUCCAUAGUUCUGAGAGGGAGGGAAUGAGCAUCUCAUUUUACUGAGGCUUUUUUGUUGACUCUUAAAACAGAAGAUAGAAGCUUGCUACAGCGUUACCCAGAUGUAUUUAGCUUUGACUUGUGAGUUCAAACCCAGCAUACUUUAUAAUAAAAUAAAAAUAUAAGUAAGAUAAAAU